UAGUCCCAACCCACAGGAGCACAUACCUACAGGAGCUGUGAGAUAGAGAAAGCUUUCCUUGGUAACUGUGGAGAGGACACGUUUCUUGCGAGUAUGGCUGGAGAAGCCCCCACCUCCGGUCCCAACACAACGGAACACAUGGAGUUUUGCUGUGGUGUCUGGAGGAUCCUGUCUUGAGCUUGCCUUUGCUUAGGCUGGACUGUGUAAGACAAGCACUGUGAAGUGUUCCAACUUUAUUUAAAACCAGACAGCCCUGCUACCAUGCCCCCGCUCC
Molecule: long non-coding RNA, 274 nt
Filed under: Homo sapiens (human)
Lineage: Eukaryota; Metazoa; Chordata; Mammalia; Primates; Hominidae
Description: HSALNT0263552
Source: RNAcentral